Erythranthe guttata (spotted monkey flower) is the source of this 1344-nucleotide non-coding RNA. The record is from RefSeq and is a predicted model, not a curated record. Lineage: Eukaryota; Viridiplantae; Streptophyta; Magnoliopsida; Lamiales; Phrymaceae.
ACUCUUCCUCAUCCCAAAUCAAAAAUAGCACGCACACAGCCAAAGACCCUGCAUCUCGCACCCCCACCCCACACCAGAGUCUUCUCAAAAUUGAAAUUCUCCUCUAAAUCAUAUUUGGAACGCGAAGGGAAUCACCGUUUAGCAUCCCAAACACGUAUACAAUUAAUUCACACCAUUAGGAGUUAUUCGCAGCGCGAUUAGAAUUGGCAGCAGUGGUUGGGUCAACAAAGCAACGAGGUUUACGUUUUGAUUAGCACACUACUUCGGGCGUACUUGUGCGGAUAAUAUUACUCUGAACAGUUGAAGGUCUUCAUAUGUUGGGUGAUAGAUUAUUUCAAAAAUAAUAUUUGUUGAAGCAAAAAGUGAAGUUCACAUACUGAGUGAAUUGAAAUCACAUAUAUUGUGUAUUUUCAUUUGUCUUUGACCUCUUUCAAGAAUUGUGAUUCUUCGAACUCAUAAGCUUCUAGUGCUUUCAACACUUUGGUGUGUCUUUUCUUCUUUGUUGAAAAUUCACAUAAUUUUUGUGGUUUAUUUUGCUUUAGUGAUGAGGGCUUUCUACAAUCAGUCAAGGAAAUCAGAGAAGUAAUCAAAGAAUAGGAAGGGGUCAAAGAGGAUCUAAAUCAGGUAGUGUUACUAGAAAAAUGUUGGGCUUCUAUCAAGUAUAUAAAGGUUGAACGAUAUUGUUGUAUGUCAAGCUUGUCAUAAACUUCCAUUGGGGGCUCUAAGGAGUUGAAAUGACGAAAUGUUGCACCAAGCAGACUACCGAGCAACUGUAGAAUCAUGCAUAUGGUGUGUGGAUGGAGACAGCAAAAGCAAAAUAGGGAUUUCUAUGAUCCACCGUUACCGCUGUUUUUGUGACUCCCUGUUCUUAUCCUUGCUCCUUAUCAGCACAAGACUUCCCGUUGAUAUGAAGGGAAAUAUUUCAAAUAUCCUGCAAAUAGUAGUCACUCUAUUGCAACUGGAUUAUUUUUAAACAGGUAAUUUUGUAUUUAACUUAUAUGUAUAUUAAUCACUUAUAGAAAAUAGUGUUUCUACCAUUAUUUGACUUGCAGAACUACAGGAUUUUUCCAAAAUCUUUUAAUACAAUCCGGCAACUUCAUCCACUUUUGGUUUUUGUGGCUGCUCUUUGAGUUGGAGCUCCACUUGCUAUCAACGUGAAGUCAUUGAUCCUGAUGUUCCUAUCCGGAAUUGAAGUGUUGUGAUUUAGUUUUACUAGUUUUGGACGAUGGUUAUGAAAUGUAUAAAUGAACAAAUAUUUUAAUCUUUUUACAACUAGUGUUCGUUGUUUCUUGUAUAAGUAUUAACAACUAGUUCGAAUUGUUUUUGCAACUAUAUUUUGGUUUU